UCUCCGUAGGUGAACCUGCGGAGGGAUCAUUACCGAGAAAAGGCGCUCUGCGUCCGGCCUCCAACCCUUUGUUCGUCUCAACCAUGUUGCCUCGGGGGCGACCCGGCCCUCUGGGCGUCGGGGCCCCCGGUGGCUCACACCUCAACUCUUGCAUCUGUGCGUCUGAGUAACAUAUUGAAUCAAUCAAAACUUUCAACAACGGAUCUCUUGGUUCUGGCAUCGAUGAAGAACGCAGC
This 236-nucleotide unclassified non-coding RNA is filed under the name uncultured fungus. RNAcentral's name for it is "sequence contains ITS1, 5.8S rRNA gene". The stretch from base 188 to 236 matches the Rfam family "5.8S ribosomal RNA", at positions 1 to 49 of the family's 154-position model. Lineage: Eukaryota; Fungi. The record is from RNAcentral.